RNAcentral lists this ribosomal RNA (784 nucleotides) under uncultured fungus. Its description in RNAcentral is "SSU rRNA". It matches the Rfam family "Eukaryotic small subunit ribosomal RNA", at positions 564 to 1355 of the family's 1831-position model. Lineage: Eukaryota; Fungi. The record is from RNAcentral.
GUGCCAGCCGCCGCGUAAUUCCAGCUCCAAUAGCGUAUAUUAAAGUUGUUGUGGUUAAAAAGCUCGUAGUUGAACCUUGGGCCUGGCUGGCCGGUCCGCCUCACCGCGUGCACUGGUCCGGCCGGGCCUUUCCCUCUGUGGAACCCCAUACCCUUCACUGGGCGUGGCGGGGAAACAGGACAUUUACUUUGAAAAAAUUAGAGUGCUCCAGGCAGGCCUAUGCUCGAAUACAUUAGCAUGGAAUAAUAAAAUAGGACGCGCGGUUCUAUUUUGUUGGUUUAUAGGACCGCCGUAAUGAUUAAUAGGGACAGUCGGGGGCAUCAGUAUUCAACUGUCAGAGGUGAAAUUCUUGGAUCAGUUGAAGACUAACUACUGCGAAAGCAUUUGCCAAGGAUGUUUUCAUUAAUCAGGAACGAAAGUUAGGGGAUCGAAGACGAUCAGAUACCGUCGUAGUCUUAACCAUAAACUAUGCCGACUAGGGAUCGGACGGUGUUAUUCAUGACCCGUUCGGCACCUUACGAGAAAUCAAAGUGCUUGGGCUCCAGGGGGAGUAUGGUCGCAAGGCUGAAACUUAAAGAAAUUGACGGAAGGGCACCACCAGGGGUGGAGCCUGCGGCUUAAUUUGACUCAACACGGGGAAACUCACCAGGUCCAGACACAAUAAGGAUUGACAGAUUGAGAGCUCUUUCUUGAUUUUGUGGGUGGUGGUGCAUGGGCCGUUCUUAGUUGGUGGGGUGACUUGUCUGCUUAAUUGCGAUAACGAACGAGACCUUAACCUGCUUAA